UGUAUUACAUAGACCCUGGACACAUAGCAGCUCUUUUCAUAUUGAGCUCUGUCUGAGCUUAUUUUAUUCAACUUCUAUUGCAUUAUCUAUUAUGAUGUAACCUUAUUUGGUGAUUUUAUCCCCCCCACCCAGUGAGCUUGCAGAAAAGACAUUUCAUUGCCAGCAACUACUGCUGCACGCCGUAUUGUUGUGCAUUUGAUCAAUAAAUUGAUUAUGAUUUGAACAGAAUUGAAGCCAGAUGUUUCGGCACUGUUAGAGAGCAUCGAGUACUCCUGCCCUGGUCGAUUUGCCGGAGUGACACUGAGGGGAAUUCUUUCAUGGUCAGAUUGGCAGGGGAUACCGAGAGACAGAGAUAUUCAACCGGCUUUUCCUGUUAAAAACACAAUCCAGGUAGAUGCCCUUACAGAAAGUGCAGUAAGGAGGCGAGAAAGUUAACGAGCCCUGGCUCAGGCGCCAGUCUGGGGCAUCGUGCUAGGCGGCGGGGGGCGGGACUGUGAUGCUCGCAGCCGGCCCACCAAAAGCACUUCGGGCUGGUUUGAAAGCGGAAUGGGAGAGGGCUGAGCGCGUGUGAUGAGAGAGGGGGAUACUCUGCUCUUCCGUCGUGCUGCGCUUUCCAAACAAACAGGCAUGAGGGAAGGUUUCGGCGGAGCGUAGAGUUUGCAUGUCGCAGGAGGCGUGACGCCAAGGGGCAGAUCAAGCGCGAGCCGUCGCUGGGCAGCUCCUCUCCGGUCUCGGGCAGCAGCGGACGAUGCAGGCCUCCGACGUGUGGGUCCCACAGAGGCCACAGCCCGCGCUCUUCCAGGCGCCCCGCGGCUCCCCCUCCGCCUCGGCGUUGAGCCACCAUGCCCUUGCUGCCCCUGCGGGCGCUGGGUCCGCCGGACCCGCCAGCGCCCCCGGCUCUCCGCAGGACGCUGCCUUGGCGGUCCUGCAGCAGUUUGUGACGGAGAGGAUGUACGCCGAGGGCUCUGCUCCAGGGGCACACGGGCCACAGGCGCCCUACAAAAUAGUGCACCAAAACCCCGCGGCCCCCUCCAGAAGACAGCCUGACCAGUUCGGUGCUCCCGCCCAGUCCGCAAGACCCCAUCGCGCUGUCCACUUUGCCAACGGGCAGUUUCACAACACGGCAUUUGCGCCCAACAGGGUGGUGUUCAGUAGGAAUCCGGUUGCGCCUGGAGGAAACCACGAACCGUCCAAGAGCAGCGGCCUUGUGGCGCAACAGGAACACGGCUGGAACCGUGUCUCCUCCUCCACCGGCCGGCCGAACUACGGCAGACACCCCUCGCUUGCUCUUCCAUUCCAGUUGCACAAUCAGGGUGCUCCCGGUGGGCACGGCAGGUCGGGAUGGAGUGGGCAGCAGCAGUACCACGUGCUUCAGCAGCCUGGACCCCGCACAGAAGCCUUCAGCAGGGCUGGUGCUCAGGGUUUAGCAGGGGCCUCCAGCAGUGAUGCUCAAGCAUGGAGCCCUUCUCCGUCCGCGCCACAGGGCCAGCCGAGGCAGUGGAGUUACUAUUCAUACCCCUUUUCCUCUCUGGGGGACGGCAGCGCAGCUGGUAUCGCUCUUCAGGCAGGGCAGCAGAGGUACCCCGCCAGCCAGGCCUGUUUGCAAGGCAAAGCGAGUGACCGUCCCCAGAAUAUUCCAAACCGACCAGCGGAAAACUCCGAUACAGUUUCUCCUCUUGGGGACGUGCGGAACAGUGGUUUUCCAAGCAAUCAGCCCUUUGGGGCUGUAAAUCCCACUGUAAAUGUUUCCCAGAAUGCCCGUGAAGCUGCAGAAAGCAUCACUGUAAAUGGACGUUUUCUCCCGGCUUUGACGUCCAGCCAGUUCGGGCGCGCUCCUUGCCAUGCUGGCCAGCAGACCCCCACCAGACCGGGCUUCUUGGGUGGAGAUGGGGGCAUGGGCGCUCUAGAGGCAGCGGCCUCCCGAGGUGAUAGCACGGUCUCGGGGGCCUCCGGAAGCCUGGACAGCGGCCGGGGCCACGGUGCUUUGUCCGAGAACAUCCGCCACGACGCCGGGAAACCCCCUGAAACAAACUCCAAUUCCACAUGGCCGUCGUCUGGAUUAAACAGGGAGGCACAGCCACAGCUCCCCCACUUCCCUCAGGUCAAAACCGGCACUAACACACCAACCUUCACGCCCUCCGCCUCCGUGUCCAACACCCCGACAUGCAACUCGCUCCCCCCGGCAGGGCUGCCGCCCCCUCCUUACCCGAGAGGGCUGGAGCAGUCCUAUUUAGUGACCGUGAAGAAGGAUACCCGAGGCGAGGGGUUUACGGCUCACAAUGUGAUUUUGAUUGACAAGCCGUCUUCCGCCGGCGGCACUCGGCAGCUGCCCGGGCGGAGACGAGGCUCGUCCGGUCGGGGCUCCUCGUCGGACUCGCUCCUACGAGGGAGAGGCCCCGAAGCUCCGGGACCGAUGUCCGCCGCACACGUUUCAGACCAGCCCGCCGCUCUGCCGUUGCCCCCUGCAGUCCAGCAGAGAGGCUUGUCUCAAGGGGCAGGAAGGAGCUCCGUUUUUCAGCAGCACAGACACACCCAGGAAAACAGCUUUCUGAGGGACCAUACAGUUAGUGGGCAGCUAGUGGGUAGUAGCAUGGCAUCCACAGCUCUGCCCACUGGUCCUGUUCCACAGAAGAUGAGAGCGUCGGAUGUUAAGUUAAGGAACGAGCUCAGAAAGGGUGUAGCAGAGGUGCUGUGCGCAUUUCUGUCAAAAUGUAAAACAAGCCAGACAGACAUGUCUCCUACCAACAUGCCAGCACAGACCCAAACUGCCAAUUUAUCCCCGAGCCAAAAUGAGUCUCCGAAGGAUGUUGGCACACCUGCCAGAGGGGAAUAUGCUACGCCUGGGAAAGAGGAGUAUAGUCAUAGCCUAAUCGGGAAAUUGCUUUGUUCUUCCUUAUCGCGGGCAAGCGAACCACAGAUUGCCAUUGUGCCUCCGAUAACGCAGAAAUAUGUGGCAUCGCCGGAAAAAUUGAGAGCCUUCCUGAACGCGGAUCACGAUCUCCCAUUUAAAAUUCUGAACGUGUGGUCCCAGCUAGAAGAUCAUGCCAGUUGUUCUGAGCUGCCCAUUAAGGAGGACUUUGUUAGUUCCCUUGCAAGUGCACAUUCUGAUGGAAAAGUUGCGCAGGAGAUCUCCUCUAAAAGUCCCCCAGCAAAAGGUGUUGAAGCUCCAGCGACGGCAGAGGUCGCGCAGACAUCUGCAGAAUCUCCCAGCCUGAGAGCUCCUCCCGGAUCAUGGAGGGAUCAGCCAUUCAAGAUCACUCCAGCACACUGCACAGAAAGUCAAGCAUCACCUGGUGGUCACUCCGUGGGAAGCCUUGUUGGGCUCAGUUCUGGUCCACAUAGCUGUGAAAAGCAGCAGAGUGGGAAGAAUGAAGACAGCCUAGGUCCAGAUUCAAAUCUGAGCACAUGCACUUUGGCCUCUGUGCCUGUGAAAGAGUGGACACUUGAGAGAAUACAACAGCUGGUGAAUUUGUUUCAUGAUUGUGUAGCUCGUGAUCCAGGGUGUUAUGGGGUGGAGGAAGUAGCAAACCAGCGCUGGGCUGUUAGAAAUGAUGAGCCUUUAGAUCCACGUGAAUCUGAUCAUGAAAUUGAGUCAAUUGUGAACUUCUGGAGCUCUGGCAUCACUCUGGACCAACAGUCUGUAAUAUUUUCUGAAGUAAAGCCUGAUUGUUUUGAAAAAAUAGCCCCACAUUGCAUAACUGUUGGACCCAGUGCUGUUCCGUGUGUUGUAGAGGAGUACAAGUCCACAUGGUUAAAUCUCAACGAGAAGCUUGAUGAUAUAGAUAAAGAGUGUGGCUUUCCUCUCUGCCUGCUGCUCAAAUACCAGAUGACUGAAACAGAAAGCAGUACAUCACACGUCCAAGAGAUGCAGAACUUGGAAGCUGCUUCACUCACUACCUGUGAACAGACAGAGGAUUUGGCGCCUCCUGCAGAAACUGAGAGUGCUAACAUUGAGGAUGCCCUGUGUAAUACCCAGGUCACAGUUGUACAACCUGGCAAUGAGAUCUUCAGUGUGAUUCUGAAUGAAUCUGGUAAAGAGGAGCUGAAAGGCAGUCCACCUGUGGAAACUCCAGUCCAGCGAGAAGUGAUCCCUGAGAACUACUGCUGUCUCCUUCGCUUGCUGGAAGAUUAUACCGGUUCUCCCCUGAGCCCGAGCUGCAACUGUCAGUUCCGCUCCAAGUCGGAGAAGGAGCAUUUAACAGGCCGGACCCCUUCCACUGGAAAUGGAGGCGGACUUGUCAAAGUGUGUGCUGAGAGCUCUCCAGAGCAGUUACCAGGGGCAGGGGACCUCCCUCGAGUAACUGAGCCACAAUUGCAAACUCCAGUGGCAAGCAGGGAUCUUGCACAAGUAACUGAAGUGCAAAAGGGAGAAAUGGAUUUAGGAGCUGAGCACACAACCAUUGCUGCUGUGAAGCACAAAGAGCUGAAUGGCAAAAUAUUAAGAUCGCGGUUCAAGUCUUCUCAAAAAGCUGCUCCUGAAAGGCAAGGUGAAUCUGAAGUUCCCCAUAAACGCCAAAGAGGGGAAGAUCUGACGUCUGGUAAAGGGCGGAGGCGGGACUGUGUGGUGAAGCUCCUCCAGCUCCCAGCCCCACUCAAGAGGAGCCAAAGUCACAAAGGGGAGAAUCUGGACAGGGUCGGCGGUGGAGAAUCUGGACAGGGUAGAAAGGGAGAGGUUGACCGCGAGAUUCUGAUUCCCUCUGUAGCCAAGAAAUCGCCUCCGAGUCGCAGAAGAACUGAAGGGCAAAACGCUCAAGUUGUCGUAAGCGUAGCAUCGGGCACCAGCUCUGCUGGAGGUCCUGGAAAUAAGCACGAUAAAGGACAUAAAUCAGAAGGCAGGAAGCGUGAGAGAGAAGAUGGCUUUGAUUGCCCACCAUCCAGAUUGGCUAAAUUGCAUCUUGCGGUCCACUCCUCAGCUGAUGCAAAACAAACACCAAAGGAAGAGAAAGAACCUUUAUCAAAGAAAAAGAGCUCGUCGGAAACGGGACCAGCCGGAUCAGAGAAGAGAGGGGAGAGGACAGUGAGCCUGGUGCUGUUUGGGUCCGGCUCUAAUUCAAGUCUAGAAGUCAGAAGUUCUGAUGGCAAUCUUGCUCUUAGACGGAAGAUAAACCCUCCUCCAGUGAUUGAAUUCACCAUUCGUAGCAAAAAGGACUGUGCAGAGAAGGCAGCACUUCCAAAGGAGCAUGUCCUGUUGAACAAGAACAGACUUUCUGAAGUAGGGCUUGAAGCGAAAGAAGAGAAGAAAAGCCAGACAAAAUGCUCAGGAAGGCCACAGCAGUCCAAAACCAAGCAAAGUCUUGGAAACAAGGGACCAGACAACCACAUGACAACAGAGCACCCAUCGGAAUACUCCCAAGGCUCAUUGCACCGGAGGGUUGUGGAUUUUAAGGGCACUGACAGAUAUUACAAACCGAUGGACCAACACAGACGAAAGAAGGGCUCACAGUUAAAAACAGAGAAUCCUAAGUCCUGUUCAAAGAGUGUUCUUAGCCUGAACGAGCAAAGCGAUUCAGACAUCAAGACUUGUGGAGAUGUGAAGAAAUCGGUCUUGAGGAGAAGAGCCUCACAGCACGAGCAGAAGCAAAUUGCUUUUCGCAAACUGCAGCACAAGGAGCGCACCAAGAGUCAGGGUACAGUGGCGCCCAUCUGCUUGGUCCGGAAGAGGAAGCGUCCCUCUAUCAUGCAAGAGGCUUUCACAAAAAGGGUGUCCGCUUCUGGGAGCCCCACUACGGCGGAGAAAGACAAGCUUCUGCAGUUCAAGCUGUGGCCAGACACCGGGGAUCUGUUUGGCUUUAAAGAUGAGGGCAGCUUGAAAAAGGAAAGCAGGCAACACCCCAAUUCAGUAAAGAGAGCUGGAAGUCUGAGGGAAACAGGAAUGCAGGCUGGAUCUUCAAAGCCCAAGCAAUGGAAGAUAAAAGGUAAGACUGUGUCCCUCUGUGAUGAGAGAGGCUGAGAACAGAGAUUCAUCUGGACAGUUUUCUGGGAAAGAUUUUCUCAAAUUUAGUGCAGGGUAUCCCAGCUGUUGGUCUCCCAAGCGGUCAUCUGUGAUUUGGUGAUUAGUGAACAAUUUUGCUUUUUUGCCAAACGUGUUUUGCUUAUUCAUUGAUAGCAAUCGUUAUUUUGCAUUUUCAUUUUGUGGUCUGCUCACUUUGGCAUAGUAAGACUGUUAACUCAUGGAUAAUUUUAUAUAGUUAUAUCCCACAUAUGAUAUACCCAUUCCCCAUAUUCUGUCUUAUGGACAAGAAUUCCCCCUUUUGCAAUGUUUUCAUCUCUGACUAUGACAGAUAGCAAGGACAGUCUGCUUGUGUUUUCUGCCUUACAUUUAUUUUAAUUCAACAUGCCACCCUGUCACUGGGUCCCUGGCUGGCACAGGGGUGUGAAGAGAUGAAGCCUUCUGGCCUAUUGUGGAAAUCUCCACUCAGGACUCUGAACUGGGCAACGCUGCAGAUCCAAGAGUUCUGGAUGCAGAGAUACAGACUUCCCCUGUACGGAUUCUGACUCCGUAAUGUACAGAUCCAUUCAGGUUCUGUCAGCAUGGUCUCUGGUCCAAGUAAAAACGUCAGGAAAGCCCACAGGAGGAUAUGACAGCUCAGGUUCUCAUGACCUGGAAACCUGAUGGAAAUAGAUGAGCUAAGCGCCAGGUGCAGGGAGUUAUCAUGAGAUAAGCUGAGCGAGGCUCAGUGUGACCUCUUUGCCAAACUGCUGAACGAAAACUUUUCAGACUCAAGUGGCGCUCUGUUUUUUAGAGCUGUUUUUACUGUUCAGUAAUCUAAACAAUGCGGUCUGCUGGAGUUCAAGGUUGUGCAGCUGUUUCUUGAGCUUAAGCAGCGAAAGAAGAAGAAAAAGUAGCGUUCAGAGAUUCCACUUGUCAUCUUGUUCAUGCCUCACUUGUGUCGCGAAUGUUUGUUUGAUCCCGUAGAUGUUUACUGUCUUUACCGAUGCCUUUGAGGAUUUUCAUUCCUCCAGUUAAGACCGAUGAGGCUCUUUGCAAUUAGCCUGUAGAAUAAAUAUCUUUUAACUGCAUAUUACAUUGACUUUUUGUUGUACAUAGAGAGUUGCCACAGAGUUUCUGACUGUGUACAUGUGCGCUGCCUGUAGAAAGUCUAAACACCCUUUCCAAAGUAACACAUUUGUAAUUAUUACUCAGAAUGUCUGACCAUUUGUUUUUUCACUUGGGAAUUGUGUUACAAUAAGAAAAUAAAGGUAAAAUAAAUUGAUUUAGUGUCUUGAUUUUCAGUCUGUUAGACCACAAAUUAUGUUACUUUGGAAAGGGUGCACAGUCUUUCUGUAGGCAGUGUAUUUUGUUUUUGCUACCUACAUGCAACACCCUCCAGCUAUCAACAGCAAAUCCUACCUGCCAGCUGUUUGCUUACUCCAGAGUUUGGUCUGAAUCUCUUUUGCUCCAUCUCCUUUUAUUUUGUGAUCAGAUUGCUCAGUCUAGAUCAAUGAUAUAAAUAGGAAGGAGCAGUGGUCCUAAUCCAGGUACCUGAUGCACUAAUUACAUCACCCUCGGUCUGUACAUGGAGGGAGAACAGGCAUUGUGAACAGGGAAGAAAGUGAGAAUCACUGCUGCUCUCUGGCUAAAAUGGCACAAACAACAAGUUAAUCGACAAAAUAAUAAGGGAGGACAGGAACAUCGUUGAACAUUGUUCAGUGAUAAUAUGAAAGCAUUUCAGCUUCUGCUGUGCAGGUUUACAGUUGGAGCUUUCCACUUUUCCCACCUUCUUCCCCGGCAUGCACAGGGCUCACUGCACUCUCGGCUCUGCUGGCCGAGGGAAUUCGGACAGAAGCUCGUCGGUCUGCUCAGAGUUAACAUGACCCAGGCGUUUUGCAUGAAGUGUUUUUCCCAGGAAGACCUGGGAAAGCGAACUCGUGAGCUGUGGUUAAUCUUUCCGAAUCGUCUCUCGGCAGGUUACUGGUCCCAGAGCUCAGAAGGCAGAUCACCAGAGAAAGAGCCGACGUCUCCGGGGGCGGCCUCCCCACUUCUCACGCCCUCCUCCAAGACCACUGCUGAUGCCACCUUUCAGGAGUACAAGAAGAGAUUCCUGGAGAAGGAGCUGAAGGUCGACAAGAAGUAGCUCGGCGUGCUUGCGAAGCCUGCGUUUCGGGGGCCUGAUGUAUGCAGCUGGAACGUGUUUCCAAGGGACUCCUGCUACGCGUUUCCUGGGUGGGAUUUUCUUCAGUGGAGCGUGUUUUGUUAAGAACUGGUCACAUGCUCCCCUGCGACGCCCACACACCACAUGAUCCCGCGCGUCUGAGCUGCCGGCGAGACCCCAGAGCUCUCGCCAAAGAGUGUCUGCAGAAUUCCUGCAGGGAAAUGAGACGGCACUGACAUUCCACUCAUUGCUUUCAUCGGUAACCUCACUGCCUGCACACUGGAGUGGUGCUUGUGAGUGUCUCUCUCUGUUCCCAGGCGUUAGUAUAGCUGGAGACGCUCCUCACGGGAAUAGCUUCCUGGUAGCUGUGCUUUCCCUCUUCCUCCCACUUUUCCAACACGGCCGCUGGCCGGAACAGGAAGACUGAUAUAAACUCGUCUGGCAUUAAAUUGCUUCUGCCAAGCGCGUCGCAGCAUCCUGUGCCACAGGCCUUCACGGGCAGUUGGUCAAGCUUGUCCGUGGGCUUCCGAUGCUGGGGGAGAUGAUGGGAAAUGGGAUUCAGACACACAAGGGAUCCUGGAGGAGGAUUACUGUGAUGAGAGGCCUGCGAGGGAACAGGAUGUGCAACACGCCUUCAGAUUUUCAAACGGUUGUCUUUCAGAAUGUGAAAUACCUGCGCUGCUGUACAGAUAUAAGUACAGGAAUGCACUGAACUUGCACUUCAGCCCUUCGGAAGCCUGUGGUUUAAGAGAGCUUGUCUGAAUUUGAGGAUGGAGCUUCAUUGUCAGCAAGCACACUAAAAACUUACCAGACAUAAACCCUGUCUAACUUUUGUCCAAAUGUCAAUCCAUAUUAUUCUUAAAUCUGUUUCCUGUGUGUGUAUAAAAACACAUGGAAAAAUGCCCUUAAGCUGCUCUGUUACCAGCUCCAGAAAUGCAGGACUUGGUUUUCUUCAGCAGAGGGUCAUGCAGUCCUAUGUGACCCUGGCGACGGGAGAGGGGAACGACCUGCAGACCCACUCCUUAUCUCAGGUUAUUCUCGGACUAAGUACAUACGUUCUGAAGUUCACCAGCACAGAGGGCAACCUUCAAACAAAGCAUCUGAAAACAGUCCUUUGCUUUUUAGGAAAUGCAGAAUGUCUCUCUUUGUACUUGAAGUAUUUACAAGAGUAUUUGUUUACAAGCUUGUGUGGAAACUGGUGCCAGUGCCCAGGUCAGCACGGGCUUUGACCACUGUCAGACCUUGUGAGUCUGCUCUCAUCGUGGGAUUCUUUUUAUUUUUCACGCUAAAACUAUUCAGGAACAUGUUUGUUAAAUGCUGAUUGUAUAUACAUAUUGUGAACGGUGGUGUUCUGCAACUAUUUUUGUAUAAAACAACUUGCCAGAAAUAAAUUUUUAUAUUUCACUUCAUGAGAGCAGAUGACUUAUGUGAGAUUUAUGUGUACUUCAAAAAAAGGUCGUGCUACAAAACAGUCUGUGUCUCUGAUGUCUGACUGCAGCAAUAACGCCUUGCAGUCUGAUAAUCCAGACUGGUCCUGAUCCUGACUGGUCCUGACUGGACGAGAGACCUCUAAGGAAAAAAUCGUUGCUGAAGAAAUAGAUCCUGGUGCUGUUCUUCCCUGUGGACCUAUGGGUGAUUUUUGACGCACAUAUUAUGAAGCAUGAAAA
Molecule: long non-coding RNA, 9760 nt
Filed under: Lepisosteus oculatus (spotted gar)
Lineage: Eukaryota; Metazoa; Chordata; Actinopteri; Semionotiformes; Lepisosteidae
Description: lncRNA (ENSLOCG00000021946.1)
Source: RNAcentral